This 248-nucleotide long non-coding RNA is filed under the name Elaeis guineensis (African oil palm). RNAcentral's name for it is "long non-coding RNA (EGUI_LNC026042)". The record is from RNAcentral. Lineage: Eukaryota; Viridiplantae; Streptophyta; Magnoliopsida; Arecales; Arecaceae.
CUCUUGACCCCGGUACCCAUAAUGUGUGGAACUCAUGAUCAGAGAAUCCUGAUUCUCGAUCACUGAGUCUCAAAUAUGUAGGAUUCUACACCAGCCAUCAGAUCAGAUAGGAACCUCUAAUGUGUGUGACCCCGCAGGUUCGAACCUAAGCCGGUAGCACAGGAACCAAUUCCUGUACUAAUCGAAGUGACCAUCUAGCAAUGGUACCCGAUAUUUGGAUAGGUUGAAGAGUCACAAUCACAAUACUC